RNAcentral lists this long non-coding RNA (3852 nucleotides) under Mytilus galloprovincialis (Mediterranean mussel). The record is from RNAcentral. Lineage: Eukaryota; Metazoa; Mollusca; Bivalvia; Mytilida; Mytilidae.
AUAAAUCUUUGCUGUUGUUGAAAGCCACGUGAGUAAUGCAUAUAUAUAUAUAGUUUCACCAAAGUUUUAAAAUGAACACAUCUAUUUUUAAAAAGCUUGGGGACUAAAAUUCUGUUUUUUAUUAUUGAUUAUGUUUGACAAUAAUUAUAAAAAAGAAAUUUCUGGAGCAUUUAAAUUUAUUAUUUAGUGUGUUUAUCUUGUGAUUGUUAUUGUUGCUAUUUUUAUAGUGGGGAAGUAAUGAAUUCUUUCUAAUUGAUUGUAAAACACUUUUGACACCAAAUUUUAAACACUCGGUUAAACGGCUAAAACGGCUAAACGAUAUCUUUAAUAUCUGUAAAUAGUACACAAAAAGAAAUGUUUGGAUAUUUAAAUUUUGUGUUUCAAUGUUGAAACUAAAUUCAAAUUAGGAAGUUAUUCAACCUUAAAAUUGUAAAAAUAAACUUGUUGAUAGGCAAUUUAUAUGGCUAUAUUUUCCUUUUGUGGUAAGUUAUUAAUGCAUCAUUAUUAUGAGGUUCAUAGCUGAUUAUGCAGUAUGGGCUUUACUCAUUGUUGAAGGCCCUAUAAUGACCUUUAGUUGUUAAUUUCUGUGUCAUUUGGUCUCUUGUGAAGAGUUGUCUCAUUGGCAAUCAUACCACAUCUUCUUCUUUAUAUAUAUACAGGAUACAAUAUGCAGGAAUAGAGCCAUUUUAAUCCAUAUUUCAGAAAUAUGAUACUUUUUUCCAUCUUAUUUUGAGAAUUCAUUUUUAUAGCGCCAACCUCCAACCAUUUAAUAUAUUGUAGAAAAAGUAAUAAACAGUGCAUUGGGGGUCUAAUUGGGGGGUUCUGAUCCCAGAUCCAGCUUACUGUUUUGUCAGAUUCCCAUAUCCUACUAACACUAUGUACAUGUAUGUAAGCAAUUUUCAUUUUUUUGUAAUUUCCUGUGUCCCACUAGACUUCAUUUCUUGUUUUCACUGCAAAAAUAAUUUGACUUUCACAUGUCAUGCUUCCAAAAAAUUGGCAAUCCCAUGACACGCUUAGACCCCAAAGAGACCCACUGCAUGUACAUAGUGUUUGUAAAUUUGUAUUAGGCAAGGGAUGAUGCCACUGUUAUAAUUGUCAUAAAUUUUUCCACAUUAUGCAAAAAAUCACAUUUUAUUGAACCUCACUUAUAUUUCUGACAUCACAAAUACAUCACUAUAAUCAUGAUAGUAAUAAUGACACAAUUGGAAAAAAAACCUUCAUUUAUCAACAUCAUCCAUUACAUAUAAUCGUAGUGUUUGCAAGAUAAGUAUUCAAAUAGUUCUUGUUUAUUUAAAUCAACAAACUAUUGUGUUGUUUUAAUUUGUAUGGUAAUUGUAUUAUGAAACUGUAUUUUUAUGACAUGGAUCAAUGUAUGGCAAGCUGAGCUGUAUUUGAAUGGAACAUUAAAAUUGAUUGAUUUUUAAUCUUACAAGGUCUAGUCUCUAAAUAGAUUUUUUGCCUUUGUCAGGUUUGUUAGCCUUGUAUUUUUUUAUUUUAGUAUUUUGUCAGGGGUUAAAAAAUCUGCUAGCCCGACGCCCAGGACUAGAUCAUUUACGCCUCGGGCAAUUAAAAUGUGUAAUCCAUUAUGCCCGAUGGACUAGUAAAAAAAAAUUCUUGACGUUUCCAAAAUAGAAAGUUAAAAAUCCCUUCAACACUAUCCUAUGUUAGCCAAUUCGAUUCAAUUAAAUCAUCUGGGUUUCCAAGAAUUUGAACUGGUUUGCACAGGUCCUGUUGUACAUAUUUAAAAAAUAGAACAAAUAACUCUGGCAUGUCUGGGUGGCCUGGUAUCAUGUGUUGAUCGCAUUUCUCGUACUUUGAAUAUCGAUUUCUCAUACCAUGGCUUGGGGUAUUGUACAUUGCUUAUCGUGCCGAGAUUUUCAAUUAACGGUAUUUGGGUAUGAUGUUUGAUUGUAUUGACCUGUCUUGUUGCACAGCUCUUGAGCACGAAACCAUGCAACAAAAUAUUUCUUAAUAUUUAGUACGGAACCCCAGAACUUCGUCAGUUCAAGCGAAAAAACAGUAGAUGAAAGGAGUACGAGCUGAAAUCAUCCCCAAAAAUGCUAAAUACGACAGGGAAAAGCCGCGGAAAAAAAUUAAUAGUUUCCAGGACAGAAGAGCUGCCAAGUCUUUAGCGCGAGACUCACACAUGUUCAUGCUUAUUUUGCGGCAUUUUCCUUUGAACUAUUGUUUUUUCUCUUUGAUCUUUACAAUUUGGCCAAAAAAUCACGCAUUCACUUCCUGAAAAGUUGGCAUAACUGGGACACAAUGAUUCCCCUGGCAAGGUUGGCUGUAGUUGAUGAAAAAAAACAGACAACGUUCUGUGAAUAUUGCCGUUAGUUGCCCCAAACACGCAAAAAAAAAAGUCUGCUUUGAAUAUGGGUACAACUAAGUUAGGUUAAGCACCAAAAGAAUAAAUAACAGAUCAACAAAAAUGAUUAAAUACAGUGUAUAAUGUGUCCUUCAAAACAAAGGACACCCACUUUGUAUUUUGCAGCAAACUCUUGAUUUUUAAGGCAUACUAGGGCUAGCAGGUCAGUUCUGAUAGACUAGCAAUUCUUCCAACAGGGCUAGUAAAAUCCUGCUGCCAAAAAGUCCUGGGCUAGUUCGCUGUAACAAAAUUUUUGAACCCCUGUUUGUUUUAGAGGUUUGUAUGACAUCCAUUUUCACUGAACUAGUACACAUUUUUGUAAAGGGCCAGCUGAAGCCUGACUAGACUUAAUAUAAGUCAGCUAUACCGUGGAAUGCGUUUCCAGAUUUUUCACUGGCCAACUUCCUGUUUACCGAACACUUGUAUGAUUUUACCCAAGAAAGCCAAGUAUAACAUUUUCGUCACAUUUUUCUCAGGAACUACACUACAAGGAUUUCUGAAAUUUGGUUUCAGGGUUUAUAUAAGUCAGCUAUACCGUGUGAUGCGUUUUCAGAUUCAUCACUCGACAACUUCCUGUUUACCGAACACUUGUAUGAUCAUCACAAUUUUCUCAGGAACUACAAUACAAGGAUUUCUGAAAUUUGGUUUCAAGGUUUAUAUAAGUCAGCUAUACCGUGUGAUGUAUUUUCAGAGUCAUCACUCGAUAACUUCCUGUUUACCGAACACUUGCAUAUUUUUACACUAUUAAUAUUAUCCACUUGCAGCGGGGGUAUCAUCAGUGAGCAGUAGCUUGCAGUUUCACUUGUUCUCGCUGUGUUGACCCAUUGUUGGACUUCGUCUGAUUUUUUUUAUCUUUGAUCGGGUUGUUGUCUCUAUGACACAUUCCCCAUUUCCAUUCUCAAUUUGAAUUCUUUUCCACUAAAGAUUGUAUGUGAUGUCCUUUGUUUCUUUCAUGUAAAAAAUGAAUUGCACUUUUUGCUGUUAGAAAACAGGUCCUUAGUAAGCUAUGAUCUAAAGUAGUAUACAUAACAAGAUAACAAGGUCAAAAUUAAUCAGUUAUACAUUCAUGUUUCCAGAUGGUUUCAAGUUUUGAGGUACAUUUUUUAGGUCUAUAACAGUUAAAUCAUAACUGAUGUGGGUCACUAGUUGCAGUGAGCCCCCCCCUUCUUUAUGAAAAUUUCUGGAUUCACUACUGUAUAACAAGGUCAAUCUUAUAAAUUUAUGUUAUCAAUCAUCUCUCUAUAUAUUUUCAGAUGGUUACAAGUUUUGUAGCAGAUCUAUAACAGUAAAAGAUGUGUAAGAAAAAAUCAAGAUGAAAAUGAAAACAAGAAAGAAAGGUGUUCCUAAAACUAAGGAGGAACGACCACUUAACAGAUCAUUUAACAGUCAGCUUGCCAGAGACCAGGGGUACUCAGAUUUACGCAACACUGAUUCUGACACAGAUGGUGAGCUGUCGUGGGAGGAAGAUGGUGAAUAUUCAUGUA